Molecule: ribosomal RNA, 330 nt
Filed under: fungal sp. CL015
Lineage: Eukaryota; Fungi
Description: LSU rRNA
Rfam family: Eukaryotic large subunit ribosomal RNA
Source: RNAcentral
AGACCGAUAGCGAACAAGUACCGUGAGGGAAAGAUGAAAAGCACUUUGGAAAGAGAGUUAAACAGUACGUGAAAUUGCUGAAAGGGAAACGCUUGAAGUCAGUCGCGUUUGCUAGAACUCAGCCUGGCUUUUGCUUGGUGCAUUUUCUAGUAAACGGGCCAGCAUCACUUUUGGUUGCGGGAUAAAGGUCGCAGGAAUGUGGCACCUUCGGGUGUGUUAUAGCCUGUGAUUGCAUACCGUGGCCGGGAGUGAGGAACUCAGCACGCAUUUGUUGUGCUUAGGAUGCUGGCGUAAUGGCUUUAAACGACCCGUCUUGAAACACGGACCAAG